UUCGCCCUUAGAGUUUGAUCCUGGCUCAGGACGAACGCUGGCGGCGUGCCUAACACAUGCAAGUCGAGCGAGUGGAGUUCUUCGGAACAAAGCUAGCGGCGGACGGGUGAGUAACACGUGGGCAACCUGCCUCAUAGAGGGGAAUAGCCUCCCGAAAGGGAGAUUAAUACCGCAUAAGAUUGUAGCUUCGCAUGAAGUAGCAAUUAAAGGAGCAAUCCGCUAUGAGAUGGGCCCGCGGCGCAUUAGCUAGUUGGUGAGGUAACGGCUCACCAAGGCGACGAUGCGUAGCCGACCUGAGAGGGUGAUCGGCCACAUUGGGACUGAGACACGGCCCAGACUCCUACGGGAGGCAGCAGUGGGGAAUAUUGCACAAUGGGGGAAACCCUGAUGCAGCAACGCCGCGUGAGUGAUGACGGCCUUCGGGUUGUAAAGCUCUGUCUUCAGGGACGAUAAUGACGGUACCUGAGGAGGAAGCCACGGCUAACUACGUGCCAGCAGCCGCGGUAAUACGUAGGUGGCGAGCGUUGUCCGGAUUUACUGGGCGUAAAGGGAGCGUAGGCGGACUUUUAAGUGAGAUGUGAAAUACCCGGGCUCAACUUGGGUGCUGCAUUUCAAACUGGAAGUCUAGAGUGCAGGAGAGGAGAAUGGAAUUCCUAGUGUAGCGGUGAAAUGCGUAGAGAUAAGGAAGAACACCAGUGGCGAAGGCGAUUCUCUGGACUGUAACUGACGCUGAGGCUCGAAAGCGUGAGGAGCAAACAGGGAUAAGAUCCCCUGGUAGUCCCCCCCGUAAACGAUGAAUACUAGGUGGAGGGGUUGUCAUGACCUCUGGGCCCGCCGCUAACCCCAUUAAGUUAUUCCCGCCUGGGGAGUACGGUCGCAAGAUUAAAACUCAAAGGAAUUGACGGGGGCCCGCACAAGCAGCGGAGCAUGUGGUUUAAUUCGAAGCAACGCGAAGAACCUUACCUAGACUUGACAUCUCCUGCAUUACCCUUAAUCGGGGAAGUUCCUUCGGGAACAGGAAGACAGGUGGUGCAUGGUUGUCGUCAGCUCGUGUCGUGAGAUGUUGGGUUAAGUCCCGCAACGAGCGCAACCCUUAUUGUUAGUUGCUACCAUUUAGUUGAGCACUCUAGCGAGACUGCCCGGGUUAACCGGGAGGAAGGUGGGGAUGACGUCAAAUCAUCAUGCCCCUUAUGUCUAGGGCUACACACGUGCUACAAUGGCAAGUACAAAGAGAAGCAAGACCGCGAGGUGGAGCAAAACUCAAAAACUUGUCUCAGUUCGGAUUGUAGGCUGAAACUCGCCUACAUGAAGCUGGAGUUGCUAGUAAUCGCGAAUCAGCAUGUCGCGGUGAAUACGUUCCCGGGCCUUGCACUCACCGCCCGUCA
Molecule: ribosomal RNA, 1385 nt
Filed under: uncultured bacterium
Lineage: Bacteria
Description: 16S ribosomal RNA
Rfam family: Bacterial small subunit ribosomal RNA
Source: RNAcentral